RNAcentral lists this transfer RNA (62 nucleotides) under Melioribacter sp. RNAcentral describes it as "tRNA-Val". It matches the Rfam family "tRNA", at positions 9 to 71 of the family's 71-position model. From Rfam's summary of the family: Transfer RNA (tRNA) molecules are approximately 80 nucleotides in length. The record is from RNAcentral. Lineage: Bacteria; Pseudomonadati; Ignavibacteriota; Ignavibacteria; Ignavibacteriales; Melioribacteraceae.
AUUUUAAUCAAUAAAUCUGCCUUACAAGCAGGGGGUCGUAGGUUCGAAUCCUUCAGCGCCCA